AGAAGCCAUGGCUCAGUGGCAGAGCAUCUGCUGGGCGUGCAGAAGAUUCCAGGUCCAAUCCUUGGCCUCUCUA
RNAcentral lists this transfer RNA (73 nucleotides) under Sphaerodactylus townsendi. RNAcentral's name for it is "tRNA-Ala". It matches the Rfam family "tRNA". Rfam says of the family: Transfer RNA (tRNA) molecules are approximately 80 nucleotides in length. Their secondary structure includes four short double-helical elements and three loops (D, anti-codon, and T loops). Lineage: Eukaryota; Metazoa; Chordata; Lepidosauria; Squamata; Sphaerodactylidae. The record is from RNAcentral.